CUAUGAUCUGCUGUUGUUGUUUUCUGUUUUUUCUUCUUACAAUCCCUUAACUAUAUACUUGGGACUCUUUCCCUUGUGCAUUUUUAGCAUGCUGCAUGCAUUUGACGUAGUCAAACUGAGUGCUUGAGAUAAGUAUUUAAAGUAACAAAAUGAAUUUCCUCUUUUAUCUUUCAGACUUUGUGUAAUGACUGGGGGGAAAAGAAAAAAACCACAAGGAAAAAAGGCGAGCAGGUGAAAUGUUUUAUAUGAAGCCUAGAACUGUAAGGAAAUAUACUCUUAUGUAUUAUUUUCCGAUCACCAUAAUGUCAGUGGGGUGAAAGGCUUCAGAGUGGUUUACUUCUGAAGAAUCACUUGCCUGGAUUUCAGCAGCUGCCUUUGGGAAGAGCCUGGAACAACACAUCUGCUGACACCCCUGUGGUAAACAAAGGGAGGCAUUUUUUUCAAGCAGAUUUUGGUUUGGUGCAGUGCUUGGAACAAAACAAGAGCAAACAAAACCCAACAGCACUAAAUGCUGCACUCUUGCUGCAUGGUGGAAGUAACUUGAGGACUUUACUGAGAGUCUCAGCCUUCAGCCUCGCAAUACACCUUCUCUAACAUGAGGAUCGAUCAGCUUGCUUUCAUAGCCACAUAGAGGCAAACCAGACUCACCAGGAUCUGAUGUUGAAAAGGAAGAAGUUUCUCAGGUAUAAUUAACCUGUGGAAUGCACUACUGUGAGAUGCUCUUGAAAUGCUGUCAUUAAUAGCAUCUGUCUUCAUAAGUUAGGGCAUCAGUGACUUCAUAGCUGAAAGCGAGAAGCAAU
RNAcentral lists this long non-coding RNA (800 nucleotides) under Coturnix japonica (Japanese quail). RNAcentral describes it as "lncRNA (ENSCJPG00005020607.1)". Lineage: Eukaryota; Metazoa; Chordata; Aves; Galliformes; Phasianidae. The record is from RNAcentral.